AGCGUAAUCUAGAAGAUUUUGGGAUUCUUUUUUUUUUGAAAAAGGUAACAAUUAUAUUCUUCAACACCCAAAAAAUGGGGCUGGUAUCUAAUAUUUACAAGUACAACCCUUGAAAAUCUUACAGAGAAUAAAAAAGGUCUAGUAGUGAUUCUACAUCACCUAUCAACUGUUCUUUACACCAAAUAUGAAAAAGAGAAAUACAAGAACUCUUGAUUUUCUGUGUUGAACUGCUCUUGCCUUCAAAACAUCUUGCAUUCCUCUCCUUCCAAAUUGUCCACGCUGAAACAAUCUUCCACCAUUCCUUGUGACAAGUUCUUCCCCUAAUACUGUUCCAGAUGCAUAUCAGGCCAAUGGUGUCUUUGGGCAUUACCCAAACAAUACCAGCUAAUGCUAUAAAGAGUUGCCAAAGUUGUCUAGUAAUAACACAAUGUAAGAAAAGCUGCUCAUUGGUUUCAUCUUCCUGUUGACAUAGAAAGCAAGUAAAGUUGGUCUGAAUACCUCUUCUUUGGAGAAUUUCUAGAGUGAGACAGGCUUUUAUUACACUAACCAUGAAAAGAAAAUAACUUUGAAUGGUGCUUUGAUCUUCCAAAUCUUUUUCCAAGGCCAAGGAUAGUUGGGGUGUCCUUUUGAUGAUAGAUAGUUGUAUGCAACCUUGACUGUAAAUUUAGAGCCCUUGCCUCCUUUCCAUGUAAGAGAAUCCUCCGCCUCACUUAAUCCUACAAAACCUUCUAGCACUUUGAGAAUCUCAGUAGCUCUAGUGACUUCCCAGUCAUUGAAAAGCCUUCUAAAAAUUAGGUUCUAGUCCUGGGAGUUCCAAGUUUCUUCUACUGAGGCAUUAGGCGUAGUGGUGAGAUUGAACAGAUCAGGAAAAAGAUCUUUUAAUGCUUCGUGACCAAUCCAAUCAUCAUGCCAAAAUGAUAUCAUCCUCCCAUUUCCUAUCCUAAAGCUUGUGUUUGUUGUAAAUUCCUCCCAUAGAUUCCUAAUGGCUUUCCAAUUGCCAACUCCAUAAGGAGUUCUCACUGGUUUGGUGCUCCAAUGUCCUGAUUGCUCGUACCUGCAGUUGACAACUUGUCUCCAUAAGGCUUGCUUCUCAGUAUUGAAUCUCCAUAACCAUUUCAUUAAGAGACUCUUGUUAUGCAAACUUAAGUUUCUAAUGCCUAGACCGUCAAUUCUCUUGCUAGAUAUGAGAGUAUUCCAAUUAACAAGAUGGGAGCCUUUGGACUCCCUGUUGCCUUCCCAAAUAAAGUUCCUUCUCAGUUGGUCAAUUCUUCUCCUUACUUUGGCUGGGAUAGGAAAUAAGGACAUGAUGUAGGUGGGUAGGGAGUCCAGGACAGAGCUCACUAAAAUGAUCCUUCCCCCUAGGGAUAAGUAUUGUGAUUUCCACCUUGUAAGUUUCUUUUCACAUUUAUCUAGUACCCCUUCCCAUAUAUCUGCAGCUUUGUUCUUGGAACCCAAAGAUAGUCCUAAGUACUUAGUUGGUAAAUUUCCUACUUCACAACCCAAAAUGCCAGCUAGAAUUGGACUGUUUGGAACUGCAUUAAUAGUCACCAAUAUGCUCUUUCUCCAGUUAACAUGAAGGCCUGAGAUACCUUCAAAGACUGUGAGAACCAGCCUCAAAUGCAUUAGCUGGGCAGGUUUAGCAUCACAAAGAACUAGAGCAUCAUCUGCAUACAAUAGAUGCGAAAUCUCCAUGCUAUUAAUUCUAUUCUGAACUUCAAAUCCCUUCAAGCAACCACUGAUAGUAGAUGCUCUCAUCAUGCUACUCAACCCUUCCAUGGCUAAAAUAAAUAGGAAAGGAGAUAAAAGAUCUCCUUGCCUUAAACCCCCCAUUGAAGAGAAGAAGCCUUCAGGAGAUCCAUUAAUCAAGACAGAAAACUUCACUGUACUGAUACAAAAAAAAGAUCCAUUUAAGCCAUUUAUUCCCAACCCAUAACUUUCAGAAUAUUGAUCAGGUACCUCCAAUUAACAUGAUCAAAUGCUUUUUCGAUUUCUAGUUUGCAUAGGAUCCCUGGUUUCUUCUCCUUCUGUCUAAUAUCAACACAUUUAUUAGCUAUGAGGGCAACAUCCAUGAUCUGUCUUCCCUUGAUAAAAGUCAUCUGAUGCUUGUUCACCAUUUUAUCUACCACUUUCUUAAGUCUUUUUGCUAGAGUCUUGGAAAUAAUCUUGUAGAUUCCCCCAAUCAGACUGAUUGGUUUGAAAUCUCUUAAUUCCUUGGCUCCACUCUUCUUGGGUAUAAGCGCCACGUAUGUGGAAUUUAAACUCUUCUCAAAAAUUCCAAGAGAGUGAAAAUUCGCCAUAGUUUGUAGGAUGUCGACCUUCAAAAAUUCCCAGCAUGUAAUGAAAAACCCCAUCGAAAAACCAUUAGGACCUGACGCUUUGUCUAUGGAACAUAGCUUUAAACUAUGGAGAACUUCUUGUUCCUCAAAAGGCCUCUCAAUCCAACUUUGCUCCUCAUCUGUAUUUGAAGCUAAAUUCUGAGGAGUAAAAUUAGGCGUCCAAGCUUCUAACUCAGAGUAUAGCUGUUUAUAAAAGGAGAUGAUUUCUCUUUUAAUUUCUACUGGAUCAGAGACUUCAAUCCCAUUAAUCUCCAACUUGUCUAUGGUAUUGAAUCUCAUAUGUGCAUUGGCCAUCUUGUGAAAGAAUUUUGUGUUCUUAUCACCCUACUUUAACCAUAGAAUUCUAGAUUUUUUCCUCCAGGAGGAUUCUUCAUAUUUGGAUAUUUCCUCAAAAUCCAAAGCAAUGUUGGGUUUUUGUAUCAGUUCAUCAUCAGUGAGGUUUCUUUGUUCCUGCAAAACAUCAAGAAUGGUUAGUUGGUUCAAAAGCUCUGUCUUCUUCUUUGCUAGAUCCCCAAAGUUAGCAGCAUUCCACUCCUUUAGUUUAGCUUUCAGGAGUUUCAGCUUUGUUGCUAAAAUAAAGUCUGGGUGUCCUUGUACCGCAAAAGAUAACCACCAAGCUUUAACCAUUUCUUUGAAGCCGUCAACCUCCAACUACCAAUUUGCAAAUUUAAAGUAUGAAGGUUUCCUUUGUUCCCAAUCAUCACAAGUUAGCUUAAUAGGACAAUGAUCAAAAGUGAUUCUUGGUAGAGUAGAUUGUCUAAUAUUCCUAAAGUGUUCAUCCCAUUCAAUGGAAAAAAGAAAUCUGUCAAUUCUCGAAGCAAUCCCCUGAUUGUUCCCUUUGUUCCAAGUGAAGGAACCCUCCAAAAGUGGUGGAUCUACUAACUGUAGAUCAUUGAUUGUGUUAGAGAAAUCUCUCAUAGCUCUGGUGAGACGGUGAUUGUUGCUUCUUUCAUUUGAGUGUCUGGUUGUGUUGAAGUCCCCACAGACCACCCAUGUCCCAUUACAAAGUCCUCUUGAGGCUGCCAACUCCCACCAUAAGUCUUGCCUCUCAAUUCUGGAAUUUGAGGCAUAUACCCCUGUGAUGAACCAUGAAAAAUUGUGGUCUAUUGUAGUCAAUCUACAAGAGAUACUCUGACUUCCAGAAAUAAUCAACUCCCCUUAUAAUACCCUUUUAUCCCACAUGAUAAGAAUUCCCCCACUAGUACCAAUGGCUUCAAGAUUGACAAAAUCCACCCAUCUACUCCCCCAUAAAUGUCUGGCAACACAAGAUAUAUCACCUUCUAUCUUUGUUUCUUGAAGAACUACAACAUCACAUCUCCAUUCAUUAAGAGCAGUUUUAAUAAGACCCCUUUUCUCCCCAUCAUUCAAUCCCCACACGUUCCAUGAUAGUAUGUUAAUCUUCAUUAAUCAACUUUGAGGGUGCCUCUCCCCCUAACCCUAGAUUGCCCAUCUUUAUAUUUGAUGCCUGAUUUUAACCUCUCUAAUUGCUUCUGACCUUUUGGUUUAACUACAGUGUUACUUUGGGUAGUGAUAUCUUCCAUCUUCUUAUGCCUUCUACUGUCAAUCUUCAUGAAUAAAGACAUGGCAUCCCCUUCACACCCUUCAAAAUCAACCCAAAAUUGCUUAUUUAGUUUGAUAACAUUCAUAUGCACCCACAGUGAAGCUUCUUCUUCUGCCUUUUGAAUUUGCAUGUCAAUUGGAAUAGCUUCUUCAUCAAUACAUGUAGAUGGAUCCCCAAAAAUAACCAGUUGUUUGCUACCAUCAUCUGUAUGCAAAGAAUCCCCUUCUUUAAUGAGUUGAUCUCCCUGGACCAAAUGCAAGAUUAGAGGAACCUGAGCCAAGUCCUCUUCGAUGCCUAGAGUAGAGAAAUUAGAAGGAGAAGAAGAACUAAGUUCCAAAAGCAUAGGAUCAUAGUGGUCUUCCUUCAUCUCUUCUGUCUGCUCCUUCGAAGAUAGAAACAUCGAUGCUUCCAAAGAUGGCAAUUGAGGUCCAGAAAUUUGCCUCAUGUCUAUUAGGUUAUUAAUAAUAGGCCCAUUAGAGUCUUUAGAAGUUGGGCCAUUAGAAUCCUCAUCAAUUGGGCCUUUAGAGAUAGCCACAUGUGGUCCCUCAAAUUCUUGGAUCUGCAUCUGCAUCUUCAAUAAAGGAUCAAAAGAAUUGGGACCCACACUAUUUAAUUCCUCAACUUGGGUUAUUAGUGUUGGGCCUUUGCACCUAGAAUUAGUUGAUGGAUCUGUCAAAAUUGGGCCCACACGAAUUAAUUGUUUGUGGCCCAGAACUUCUUUUUGUUUAAAGGAUUCAGCAUCCACCUCACGUGAGUCAGGCACAUGAGUAGGAUUUUUAAAAUUUUCCCCUUCAUUCGAUGUGCCCACGUGACCUAGGUACUGUUGCGCCGAAUAAGUCCCAUCUUCGAGGCUACCCCUAUUAACCAACAGAUCUUCUCUCCUCCCAUCUACACUGGCAAUCGGAGCUGCCAUCACUGUCGCCGGAACUUCACACCAUACAGGAAUUUUGUAUAGAUACCCAUCGCUGUCCACUUGUAUAAAUCUCGGAACCUUACUUCCAUCUCCCUUUACUUUGAUUCUAGCCCAGUGUAAAUGGUUUUUUAGUGUUGUCUCCUCAUCUGUUUCAAUCCAACCACCACAUUGAUCACCUAUUGCUUUGAAACCUUUCUGUGACCAGAAGUUAAUGGGAAGACCCAGGAGCCUGAUCCAAACCCAAUUACGCUCCACCUCUUCAGGACAACAACCAGUAGUAGGUUUCCACCAUUCAAGGAUCACUUUGGUCUUCUUCCAAUGCCAUUCACCCUUAAGAGCAUGUUCGGCAUCCUUCGUUGAAGGUAGUUCAAACAAGAACUUGGAAUCGUUCAUCUGUACACAUUCACUCCAGAGGUAGAUUUCCAUGUGUUACAAGCCCAUCUCCUAAUAUCAUUCAAAGUUGGAGUCUCCUUCGCAGGAGUCAGAACUUUACCAACUAUGCACCUUCUCAGCACAUCUUUAUCCGAUAAUUCUGAACCCUCAGGGAUGAUGACUUUGGAAUUGUUGGAUUUGAUCGGAGAAGAUUUCGUCCCUUCUAAUGGCCAUCAACUGGUUCUGAUUACUUCGUUUUAGGACGACACCCGUUGUGGAUUUCUUACAAUAUGGAUAUUCUUCUCUUCUUCUGGGACAUUUAUGAACCUUUGUAUCUUUUGAGCUAUUAUUCCCCACUCCGCCUUUAAUGUAACUUCUGGUGUGAUAAUGACAUACCUACUCUGCCCCUGUAUAGCAAUGAAGCUAAUGUACCUUCCAUGCUCAUUGUACUUAAGUGUGCAAUAAAAUUCUGCAUAGUGAUCUUUCAUAUUCCACCUCCUUAUUGCCCUGCCAUGCUCCUUUGAGGCCACAUUAAAUACCUCCAUGACCCACUUCAUGACUUUAAGGCUUACAGUUGCUUUCCUCAUCAGGUUCCUACUGCGUUCAACCCAUUCGAACCAAACCUCAGACCUAAAGCAAUUUUUUGUAAUGUCAAAAGAUUUAAAACUAGCAUGAUAAUAAAUCCUGUCACUAUCCAUAUUAAUAGAAUAACUCGAUUGGAGUUAAAUCACACCGAAAAAGGAUAUUCUUCAAUAUUAGGAGGUAGAAGGAAGAAAGUGUUGGAUACUGACUGAAAAAUAGCUGAAAUCUGGACGGAAAAAGAUUCCCCACCACCAGAAAAAAGUAAAAGUUAUCGGAAUUCAGAAAUUGGUAGACGGAUGUGGUCGGAAUAAAGCCUUGAGUAUCCUGUCCCAAAAGAAAAAAUUGAAAAUUGGCGUGGAAACAGCUCACGCACCGGCGCGUGGCGACGGAGGCUUUUGAGAUGAGCUGCACGUAGAGGCGCGUGAAGGGGUCUAUGCCGGAACUGUUUUUAGGGGUAUGAUCAGAACUCUGUUGGCUCUCUAAUGGUGUUCGUGAAAACUCAAGAUUCCAUGUUCUCAGGCUCCUCGGGGGGUGUGCUUGAGAGCUUCUAAAAGUGUAUUUUCUUGUUGUACUACUUAUUUUGGGAUUCUUAGGCUUGAAUCCGAUGCAAAUUUGGCAUUUUGAUAUUGUUUGGUGUGUUCCAAAGGUUGGAACAAGUUUGAAUGAUGUUAUGGGAUAUGUUGGCAUGUUUGGUUGAGGUCUCGAGGGCCUCGGGGUGAUUUCGGAUGGUUAGCGAAGAAAUUGGAAUUGUGUUGCAGCAGCUGAUAUUGCUGCUUCUGGUAUUUUCGCACUUGCAGUUUGGGAACUGUAGGUGCGGCGCCGCAUAAGCAGAGAGUUGGCCGCAGAAGCGAAAAUUUGGUCAGGUGUGCAGAUACCACAGAAGCGGUCAAAUAGCCGCAUCUACGAAGCCGCAUAUGCGGAAGUCCUAUCGCAGAUGCGAUUUUGGGUUUUAAGUGAAGGACCGCAGAUGCGGUGGUUUAGCCGUAGAAGCGAGCAUUGUACCGCAGAUGCGAAAAGGCAUGGGCACAUGAAUUAAAAGAGCCCUUCGCGAAUUUUGGGUUAUUUCACCAUUUUUGACUUCAGCUUGAGAGCUUUUGGAUGAUUUGGAAGAGGGAUUUCAAGGGAACUUCAUUAAGGUAAGGAUUUUGGACCUAAAACACAUUUCUAUGAUAGAAUUUUAUGGAUUAAGGCUGAAAUUAAAUGAAUUAAAGGGCUAAAAAUGGAGGAUUAGGGCUUGAGUUAAGAGGCCUUAAAUUGAGGAUUUGAGGGGUCAUUUGAACUCCGAUUUUGGUAUUCUUGAUAUGCAUAGACUCGUGGAAAGAUGAGGAAUCUAUUGAUGUAAAAAUUUCUGAGUUCAAGAAGUAGGCCCGGGGCUCGGGUUUUAGCAUAUUUUGACGUACUCGUUCUGAUUUUGGAUUGAUUUGACGUGCGUGGAGGCCGAUUCAAGGGGCAAAGGCAUCGCGAGCUAGAGAUUUAGCCGGUUCGAGGUGAGUAAUGAUUGUAAAUGAUGCUCUGAGGGUUUGAAACCCCGGAUUGCACAUCGUAGUGCUAUAUUGAGGUGAGGCACACGCUGGCGACGAGCGUGGGGUCGUGUACUAUUGGGGAUUGUGACUUGGUCCGUCCCGAUUGAUAAUUUUAUCGCGUAUUUGACUAAAAACUAAUUGCUAUCAUCAUUAUUUGGGCUGGAUGUUAUAUUUGGGCCUAGUGCCAGCUAUUUGAACCCUUUGGGGAUUGUUGUUGAUAUUUCCUCACUGUUUUGAUUUUAUACUUGAACUCAGUCAUGUUAUUUUCCGCUAUUUUCAAAACUCAGCCAAGUUUAUUUUGCUUUAACACUUGAAAUGAUAUUUCAAAUAAUAUUUUAGGCUGAGCAUCAUGUUUUACUAUUGCCCGAGUGGCUUAUGUAAUUUUUGACUGAGUAAGGCCGAUGGCCUGUAUUGUGAGGAUACUUUUGGAUCGGGCUGCACGCCGCAACAAUGAGAUACUGAUUUGAUUAUGAGGCCGAGGGCCUGAGAUAUGUAUGCCACAAGGUGGCUUGUUGAUUGAUAUGAGGCCGAGGGCCUAGAUUUGAUGCCACGAGAUGACUUGAUAUUGCGCUUGGGCUGUAAGGGGUCCCUCCCAGAGUCUGUACACCCCAGUGAGCGCGGGUACCCAUUGUGAUGUGAGAUUGAGUUCGAGGGGCUGGUAUUGUUCUGAGAUUGAGCAUGAGGGGCUGGUACUGUUCUAACAUUGCCCGAGGGGCGAACCUUAUGUGCUUAUCUUAUCUUAUUUUCCUGUCAUUUACCUGUUUAAAUUGUGUAUUUGUGACCGAGGGGCGGAUUUCUGUGCUUAUCUGCACUAAUUGUUUUGCAUUCAUUUGCAUAACUGUUGAAAAAGUCAUUUUCAAAGAAGUUUCAAACUGAGCUAAGAUGUUUUUAAGAGAUUUUACAGCUUCAUUGCAUUCUUACUGGAUUUGAACUGCUUCUAUACAACAUCCUGAUAUGCUUUACGUGAUUUCUUACCAUUCAGACUUUAGUUAUGAUUAUUACUCACUGAGUUGGAGUACUGACUUUACUCCUUGCACCUUAUGUGCACAUUCAGGUAUUUCUGAACCCGAUAGCGGGUAUUGGCUGGUCGGAUGCAGAAUCAUCGGAGUUUAGCAGGGUAGUUGCCGACGUUCGUAGCACCACUUUUCUCUCUCUUUAUUUCAUUAGUUUGUAUUUGUACACUUAAGACUUUCAAUUGUAUUUAUACCCUAGUAGAUGCUCUUGACUUGUGACACCCCGGUUAGGGCUGUGUCGGGUUGGAUUUUCUUUCGCAUUAUUAUCGAUAUUUCCGCUAUUCAGUAUUGUUAAAUCAUGUUUAGACUAUUUUUAUGUUGAUUAACUGCUUUAAAAGUUGAAUUGGAUUUAAUUGGCUGGCCUUGUCUUCACGAGAGGCGCCAUCACGAUCGGGUUUGGGGUUAGGGUCGUGAUAAGUUGGUAUUAGAGCUUAGGUUACAUAGGUCUCACGAGUCAUGAGCAGGUUUAGUAGAGUCUCGCGGAUCGGUACAGAGACGUCUGUAUUUAUCCUCGAGAGGCUGCAGAACCUUUAGGAAAACUUCAUAUUCUUGAAUUCUAAUCGUGCGUCCUUGAUUUAGCUUAAAAAGUAACUCUUGAAUUCCUUCCAUGCGUUCGUAUGCGCUUAUGAGCUCUCAAUAUCAGAUAUGCCUUGAUGGCUUGUGAUUCCCUGAUUGAGAGGCGAGAUGUGAUCUCUGUGAGUUGAUGUUGGGCCAGUCUGGAGGACUUGAGGCAAGAUCUUUGUCUAUAGCUUGAGCACCGAGGUGCUGAUUGUGUGAACAAGUGUUUUUGAACUCAUAUGUUCGGAAGUGUCCCUACUAGUGGGAGUGACAGUUGGAUAACUAUGUGAUGAGUAUGCUAGUACUGUGAGAUGUAUCCAUAUGAUUUGGAGGCGACGAGAAGGGUCUACCAUAGGAUAGAAGAACUAUUAGAUGCUUGAAUUCCAUCUUGAUUCGAGGUAUAGCCCUGAGUUAUGGGCAUGUGAAGGAUCUUUUCAUGUUUCCCAGUUGUGAGUGAAGUAAUUUCAUGUUGCGGUAUGAGUUCAGACUCAGGAAGACUAAGUGACUGCAUACAUUUUAUGAUGGUGGAAGGUAUACAGAAAUGUUAGUUAGAGGCAAAGCAGGUGGGUUGUCUCCUGCGAAGUGUUCUAAGGUUGUACGAUCCUUAUGUGUCUGUUAGAAGAUCUCAUUUGCAAGUGAAAGAUAUGUGUUGCAAUUUAAAUUGGGUCGCUUAGAGAGUGGGUGUAACUGUUGCGAGAGUGGAAUGCGAGAUUUGCAGAAGAGUUAAAAUUCUAAAUGAUCUGUGUUUUCACAAGCUUAUAAAAGAUUUGAGUUUAAUCUUACUAUGGUAUCAUGGCAUCAAUAGAGUAUAAUCGUUAUGAGUUAUUGAGUGUGUGUUGAUCUAUGGCUUCGAGCCAAGUGGGGGAGACUUUUAUUGAUUAGACGAUUGCACGGUUAGGUGCUAUGGUGAAUCAGUUAUGGCUUGCGAAAAUUGAAACCGAGGAUGGCUUGAGUAAAGAAAAUUUUUGACAGAGGUUAUAUUAUGCUACAUAGGGUAUAGAACCACGGAAUGUCUUGAGUUGUUGGUAAUGGAUGCUUGGUGCAUAGAGAAGGAAGUGGCUUGGUUGUUCUAGGAUGAGGUUACACUCAGCGGUGUCAGAGUGAUAUUGAGGCACGGGUGGUUCUGUUCGUUUGGUCAGGCUAAUUGCAAUUUGAAUAGAGUGAAUGACUCUCGAGAAUGGUUCUAAUGUGUUCAAGAUUCUACAUGAAAAUGGGGAAUUUUAAGUUGUAUAUGUGGUUAGAAACUGAGUUUUCAUUGGAAGAUGUCAAGAUUUGUGGUAUUUUCUAUAUUAAUUAUGGGAUUCUAUGUAUCAGUAUCAGGAAAGUAAAGGUAACGGAUUUAGAUUCGCAGGAAGUUUUCUCAGAGAGUAUUUUGCAUGUGGUGCUUUUAGGAAUAUUUAAGAGAGUAUUCAGCGGCUUAUUAGUCUUGGACGGUGUGGUUUUGUGCUUGGGUCUCGCAUGGUGAGUCGGGGUUGAGGAAUUGUGGCGUUGUAGCAAGAAGAAGUGUCAAGAUUGUCACACCUCCUUUUUUACACACCCGAAGGGUAUAGAUAGGGAGUUUUUCCAAUUUAAGUGACAUUAUUCGAAAUGAGAUUAUUUAUUUAUCAGAGUCGCCACUUGGAGUAUUUUAAAUGGUGUCCCAAGUCACCGGUUUAUUUUAAAAUCCCAAAUCGAGGAAAUUCGACUUUCCCUUUGAAGUCUGCGAACCAGAAAUUCUAAGUAAGGAAUUCUGUUAACCAGGGAGAAGGUGUUAGGCAUUCCCGAGUUCUGUGGUUCUAGCACGGUUGCUUAAACCAUUAUAAUUGACAUAUUAUCUAAUUUUAAUACAUGUUUUAGCCUAUGGUAUAGUUUAAACUUAUGAACCACUUUUAAUCAUUUUUAGGAAGAUUCAAUGUUAUUUAAAACACGCCUUGAACCACGCCACAUGAAAUGCACCUGCGAUUCAUGACAUAUUUUAUUUAACGUUGUUGAGGAUUGGAGUUGGGUCACAUGAAAUGCACACCCGAGUUUAAGGAAAUUAAAUUAAAAUAGCGUGCCUAAAGCAACUCCGCAAUUUCAAGUUAAUAACAAGGUUUACGAGGGCCAUGGAAAAUUUGACUGAUGGCACACCUCGAUUUCUAAAGAGUUGAAAUUAAUUACAUGAGGGCCAUGGUUAUGGAAAUUAUUGUAGAGAAAUAAUCUAGAUAACAAUCCAAAACCCAAUUUAAUCUUAAUAUCCCCCAAAAUCCCUUUACUCCAAUUUACUGCCGUAAACACUUAAUUGUUCAAGUUUUCAAACCAUACUACUUCUUAUUUCUUAAUUUGCUCCAUUAACCUGACAAAUCGUUUUACAAACAGAAUAGAUAUAAUAUAUUAACCUCAAACAAUUAACAUCCAAACUAAUCAGUGAGCUAAAUGAACUAAAAAUAAGGAGAAAACAUAAACAAAGCUUAAUACCCACCUACAAUAAAUUAAACACAUAAACAAACAAAGCUUUUAAAUAAGGAGAAAACAACUAAAACAAAUUUAAUAUUAACACCCACAGAACAAAUAGAUCUAAAAUAGCUACCAAACUAGUGAGUUAAGAAAAAAAAAAUUGAAAGUAUAAGGAUCUUGUGGAAUGAAGCUUUAAAGGCAUAGAUUAAAUAACAAUAAAGAAAGAAAAUAUGGACCUUUUAUAGCUUCCAAUUCAUCAACAGCCUUCUGCUAUUUACAUGUAGACAAAAAAAAUGCCGAUGGAAUUGAAUGGAACUAACUGUCAACAAGACCACGCCGGAAACCUCGAACGAGCUCCACUAACUCAGCUUAAUUUAUCAUUAAUUGUCACAUUCUUUACAACCACAGUUGACACUCCCGUAUUGUAUUCACAAAAAUGAAAAAAAUCGGGGAGGGGAAAGGUCGAAGACGACGGUUCAGGGAGUGGGGUCGUCGAUUACGGCGCCUAGCUUAAGUCCUAGGUCCUUUAGGCCAACUUUUUGGUUUUUU
This 11822-nucleotide long non-coding RNA is filed under the name Nicotiana tabacum (common tobacco). Its description in RNAcentral is "long non-coding RNA (NTAB_LNC008198)". The record is from RNAcentral. Lineage: Eukaryota; Viridiplantae; Streptophyta; Magnoliopsida; Solanales; Solanaceae.